AUGAACGCUGGCGGCGUGCCUCAUACAUGCAAGUAGAACGCUGAAGGAAGGAGCUUGCUCUUUCCGGAUGAGUUGCGAACGGGUGAGUAACGCGUAGGUAACCUGCCUGGUAGCGGGGGAUAACUAUUGGAAACGAUAGCUAAUACCGCAUAACAGUAGAUGUUGCAUGAUAUCUACUUAAAAGGUGCAAUUGCACCACUACCAGAUGGACCUGCGUUGUAUUAGCUAGUUGGUGAGGUAACGGCUCACCAAGGCGACGAUACAUAGCCGACCUGAGAGGGUGAUCGGCCACACUGGGACUGAGACACGGCCCAGACUCCUACGGGAGGCAGCAGUAGGGAAUCUUCGGCAAUGGACGGAAGUCUGACCGAGCAACGCCGCGUGAGUGAAGAAGGUUUUCGGAUCGUAAAGCUCUGUUGUAAGAGAAGAACGAGUGUGAGAGUGGAAAGUUCACACUGUGACGGUAUCUUACCAGAAAGGGACGGCUAACUACGUG
This 496-nucleotide ribosomal RNA is filed under the name uncultured bacterium. RNAcentral describes it as "partial 16S ribosomal RNA". It matches the Rfam family "Bacterial small subunit ribosomal RNA", at positions 29 to 507 of the family's 1533-position model. The record is from RNAcentral.